Molecule: ribosomal RNA, 253 nt
Filed under: uncultured bacterium
Lineage: Bacteria
Description: partial 16S ribosomal RNA
Rfam family: Bacterial small subunit ribosomal RNA
Source: RNAcentral
UACAGAGGCCUCGAGCGUUAGGCGGAAUCACUGGGCUUAAAGCGUGUGUAGGCGGACGCCUAAGUGUCUUGUGAAAUCCCACGGCUCACCCGUGGAACUGCUGGGCAUACUGGGCGUCUUGGGCCAACUAGGGGCAGCCGGAACAAGCGGUGGAGCGGUGAAAUGCGUAGAUAUCGCUUGGAACGCCGAAGGUGAAAACAGGCUGCUGGGGUUGCGCCGACGCUGAGACACGAAAGCCAGGGGAGCAAACGGG